Molecule: long non-coding RNA, 535 nt
Organism: Ornithodoros turicata
Lineage: Eukaryota; Metazoa; Arthropoda; Arachnida; Ixodida; Argasidae
Exons: 4
Source: RefSeq, a predicted model, not a curated record
CACAAGUCCUUUCUUCGCAGAAUUCUUGCAAAAAAAAAAAAAAAAAAAGGAAAAGCUAUGAGGGCGCAGCGUAGAUGCCGCUUUUGCAGUUGAGUUCUACGGCCAGGCGGACAUCCUCUGGAAGAGAGCAUCUACUUCGUUUGACAUGACACGUUCGGGUGCCACUACAGAUGCAUUCACAAUAGGGCAAAAACAAAAGGCACUACGCUUCCGGGGAAAUCUGAUAAAAAAUUCCGCAGCGGCGGCUAGGCGCCCUUAUCUCUCUUCACCCUGGUUAUGACGCCGCACAUGACUUCACUAUCACGUGGCGUUCACAAUCUCUAGUGGUAGGCACACACAGAGGAGUAAUGCACGACCUGAGCCGGCGUGUGACCCGGAGGUGCUGAACAAGAGGAAACGGAUCACCCGAAAGGCUCGAGUGAUGUCGUCCUGUGUUUUCAUUUCAGUUCUGUUCACGCUGUUCCAGUUGAUGUGGAACGAAAGGCUAUGGUAGCGAAACAAACGGGUGUUUAUACAGUGACCCAUCCGUGCUAGU